This 3380-nucleotide long non-coding RNA is filed under the name Daucus carota (carrot). Its description in RNAcentral is "long non-coding RNA (DCAR_LNC002532)". Lineage: Eukaryota; Viridiplantae; Streptophyta; Magnoliopsida; Apiales; Apiaceae. The record is from RNAcentral.
GAAACAAAUCCAACAUUAAGGCAUGUCUCACGGACAACCUUCUCGUAAUCUACAUGAGCUUUAGUUGUGAUCUCCCCGAAAACCAUGACCAAAUCGGUUGUAAUACAUGUCUCACAUGCAACCUUGCUGUCAGGAUCUUGGGCUAGGCAGGCAUCAAGCACUGCAUCAGAGAUCUGAUCACAAAGCUUGUCAGGAUGCCCCUCAUUAACAGACUCAGAGGUAAAGAGGAAGGUCUCCAUUUUAUAGAGCUGCACAAUAAAAAAGCAUACUCAGAUUACAUACAAAGAUAUCCACUAACUGAGGAAGCUAGAUAUUAAUGCUUUAGGAGUUCUCUACCGUUCAUAUAUAAACCCCGGCUCCCAGUAAACUCACUACAAGAAAAAUGACUAUAAACCACAGACAAAAUUGUCGUUUUUAGCUAAAACGACUACUGAUCGCUUUAAUUAAAAGCAACCGAGAACAACCAGGUACAGUUCUAAACAAAAUCAAGAAAUCACAUUACACACACUAAAAUUAAAAUUCCAUAAGAAAUGCAUAAGAAAUUGGACUAGCACAAAUUUCUCACUAAACUCACUAAACGAAAAAUGGCUAAAAACCAUCAACAAAUGUGGUCGUUUUUAGCUAAACUCGACCCGAACUGGUCUUUUUGAUUAAAAACAACCGAAAGGUACGAUCCUAAACAAAAUCAAUGCAACAGAGAUUGCAAUUUACCUCAGUUAAAGAAAACGCAGGCACCGAAAAAUAUCUGCCUUGUCGAAACUCAGACCACCAAGACACUGCGACAAUGAAAAAAUGGGACAUCAGAGUUGGUAUUUAUAGAAGCGAGAAGGGACUAUGGGUGAUAAAAGAUGACUGGAAACUCAAGUAGCAAGUACGGAUUCUUGGUCUGCACGUUAAUCUUUGGAUGAUGUUAUAACAAUGGGUAUUAUAUUUUGACUAAAAUGAGUCGAAGUUCAAAUAAACUUCUCUGAUGGAAACUUGAUAAACUUAAAAAUAAGUUUUUCAUAGUAGAAGAGAAGAUUGAAAUACAUUAUACAAAAGGGUUGAUAGAAAUAUCGCAUGUCAUGCCUAUCUGAGAAUUCUAAUUAAAUUUUUAAGAGAGAAAAGAAUGGGAAUUUAGCUAGUGCCACGGUUCUAAAAAUUCCUUAUUCAACGAUUAAAAUCUGUUGGGGUGCCCAGCAUCUCCCUAACUCGAACCGUGAUGCUGGCUACUACACUAUAAAAAUUAUAAUUGCGCCAUCUCAAACAAGUAGUUGUUUUUGGUAUAGUGGUGAGCGCUAGGAUUCUAAAAAUUAGUAUCAGAGCAGGAAGGCAUGCUAUGCAGUUGUGUUAGUGCUGGCAGAUGCUGGGGUGCCCAGCAUCUCCCUAGCUUGAACCGCCAUCUCCAACAAGUAGCUAUUUUUGGUGAGUGAUUAGCGUUAAGUUCCUAAAAAAAUCAUGCAAGAUAAUUUUCCAAUUUUUAAAAAUAAUAUAUUAGACAACAAUAUUACACUACUAACGUAGAGGCAAUUGAAUAUUAAAAUAUAGGAGUCGUGUGUGACUGCCUAACUGGAGUAAGAAGUUUCGUGGUAUUCAACAGGGAGUGCGUUUUGGCUUUGUUUUGCUUAUUUUAGCCAAAGAUUGUAGAAAAGAGAAAUACAGCUAUGGACCUGGAGUGAUUUCCUAUUUUUAUUUUGAGAUUUUAAUAUAGUCCUCAAAUGAUAAGACAACGAAAGCACAAAGAAGCACGUAUUAACGGAUCAAGACUACACAUCUGUGGUUUGAUAUGGAAGUCGAAAGAUUUGAGAAAAAUAUUUAAUCGAAUGUUAAUGAGGGAGAAAAAAAUUGAUCUAAUGUUGAUUAAUGUAUUUGAACAGUAAUUUAGACUUAGAAUUCUAAAAUUAUGCUCACAAGUUUUUUCAAUUAGAAGAUUGUUAUAAGAAUAAAACCGGCUAGUUACCAAACGAUAAUAGCCGCAAGUUUUUUCGCUUAAAAGACUGUUAUAUAAUAAAAUCAGCCGUUUACAGCGCAUGCAAGGCUGUUCUGUUUGGGACUAGAGACUGUAGAAUGAAGCAAAACAAACUUUGGGGUAUUUUGUUGGAUAUAUGAUGAUAAUAGAACAAACGUUCAAAAGGAGAAAUACAAGUUAUUCAUUGUUACAAUAAAAAACCACUGCAAUGCAGGAGCAAGAUGCAAAACAUAAAACAAAUUUAAGCCUGAGGCUUAUCCCACUUGAGGGGCUUGACAACCUCCCAGGUGAAGUCUGGGUCAUCCCUUCCGAAAUGCCCAUAGGCCGCGGUCUUCAAGAACCUACCAUUGCCUCCUCUUUUCAGAUCAAGAUUGAUGGAGAUCAUUCCGGGCCUGAAGUCGAAGGUUUCCUUUACGAUCUUUAGGAUUUCCCUGUCGGGGAUUUUUCCAGUUCCAUAGGUGUCGACGAAGACUGACAGAGGCUCUGGAACACCAAUAGCAUAAGAUACCUGCACAAUGCACCUACGAGCAAGUCCAUUGGCUACAAUGCUCUUGGCAGCUUGCCUGACAAUAUAUGCACCACUUCUGUCCACCUUUGUGGGGUCCUUUCCGGAGAAAGCACCACCACCGUGAGCUCCCCAGCCACCAUAAGUGUCGAUAAUGAUCUUGCGACCUGUUAGACCAGCAUCACCAUGGGGGCCUCCAAUUACAAAGCGGCCUGAAGGGUUGAGGUGAAAGAUGGUCUUCUCAUCAAGAUACUUCUCUGGGAUGACGGGCUUGAUUACAUGCUCUUUGAGGUCAGCAGCAAUCUCAUCGUUGGUAACAGUCUCGUCGUGCUGGGUGGAAAUGAGGACAGUGUGAACACGGGUUGGAACCAUGGCACCAUUCUCAUUUAGGUACUCAACAGUGACCUGGGUCUUGCCAUCAGGUCUCAACCACGCGCAUGUACCAUUCUUGCGGACAUCAGUAAGGCGAGCGCCAAGUUUGGUUGCAAGAACAUGGCUCAGAGGCAUAAGCUCAGGGGUCUCGUCAGUGGCAUAGCCAAACAUAUGGCCCUGGUCACCUGCGCCAAUAUCCUCCGGGCGCUUAGUAAGAUGACCAUGGACACCCUGGGCAAUAUCAGGGCUCUGUUGCUCAAUGUUAACAAGAACCUUGCAGUUGUCAGCAUCAAGACCAACAUCAGCAGAAACAAAUCCAAUGUUACGGCAUGUCUCGCGAACAAUCUUCUCGUAGUCCACAUCAGCCUUGGUAGUAAUCUCCCCAAAAACCAUGACCAUGUUGGUCUUGGUGCAUGUCUCACAUGCAACCUUGCUGUCGGGAUCUUGAGCUAGGCAGGCAUCCAGCACCGCGUCAGAGAUCUGAUCACAGAGCUUGUCUGGGUGACCCUCGUUAACAGACUCGGAGGUAAAUAGGAAGGUCUCUAAUGCCAUUCU